AUUGAACGCUGGCGGCAGGCUUAACACAUGCAAGUCGAGCGGGGGAAGGUAGCUUGCUACCGGACCUAGCGGCGGACGGGUGAGUAAUGCUUAGGAAUCUGCCUAUUAGUGGGGGACAACAUCUCGAAAGGGAUGCUAAUACCGCAUACGUCCUACGGGAGAAAGCAGGGGAUCUUCGGACCUUGCGCUAAUAGAUGGGCCUAAGUCGGAUUAGCUAGUUGGUGGGGGAAAGGCCUACCAAGGCGACGAUCUGUAGCUGGUCUGAGAGGAUGAGCAGCCACACUGGGACUGAGAGACGGCCCAGACUCCUACGGGAGGAAGCAGUGGGGAAUAUUGGACAAUGGGGGGAACCCUGAUCCAGCCAUGCCGCGUGUGUGAAGAAGGCCUUAUGGUUGUAAAGCACUUUAAGCGAGGAGGAGGCUACUUUAGUUAAUACCUAGAGAUAGUGGACGUUACUCGCAGAAUAAGCACCGGCUAACUCUGUGCCAGCCGCCGCGGUAA
This 501-nucleotide ribosomal RNA is filed under the name uncultured bacterium. Its description in RNAcentral is "partial 16S ribosomal RNA". It matches the Rfam family "Bacterial small subunit ribosomal RNA", at positions 30 to 523 of the family's 1533-position model. The record is from RNAcentral.